Molecule: ribosomal RNA, 246 nt
Filed under: uncultured bacterium
Lineage: Bacteria
Description: partial 16S ribosomal RNA
Rfam family: Bacterial small subunit ribosomal RNA
Source: RNAcentral
CGUGCAAACGUUGUUCGGAAUCACUGGGCUUAAAGGGCGCGUAGGCGGGCCAGUCAGUCUGUGGUGAAAGCCUCCAGCUUAACUGGAGAAGUGCCGUGGAUACUGCUGGCCUCGAGGAGGGUAGGGGCAUCUGGAACGGUCGGUGGAGCGGUGAAAUGCGUUGAUAUCGACCGGAACUCCGGUGGCGAAGGCGAGGUGCUGGGCCCUUUCUGACGCUGAUGCGCGAAAGCCAGGGGAGCAAACGGG